ACACUGCAUCACCCUAUUGUACAAAAUGCAAGGUCAAUUGUACUAAAAAGAGGGGUAUUUAGGUACUUUAAAUGCAAUUGGAGAGGUUUCAAAUUAGUCAAGUAAAUGGCAAACACGUGUUAUAUUUGUGUCCACAUUUUUCUUUCUUUACCUUCUGCUUCAUCUUUCUCAUUCUUCCUCUCUGCCUUUCCCAAUCCUCACAUCUCUCUAAAACAAAAUUUAUGCAGAAAAUUUCAAAUCAAUAAACCCAACAACUAUUAGAUGCUUCAAAGGUUUAAGGUGAUCUAAAGUUCUCAAUUUAGAGUUAUAGCUCUCAAUCUCUCCCAACUCACUCUCUUUCAAGAUCUAAACGGGCCAAAUUCGCCCAUGAAUUCUGGCAGAGGAAACUGGAAGAGAACAUGUUUGCAAGUUCUUAAAUUAGUUGUUGAAUUGGACGCUUAGUUAGUCAAAGUCGACAGUUGAAAGAGGUCAGUCCACCUGGUUUUUCUCAAAAUAAUUUGUCAUUAAUACAGUUUCAUUGAAGCUAAAUUUAUCAAAAUACAUGUUCCCUCUAUUAAAUUUUUGCAAAAUCUUUUGUUGCUUGCAAUGAAAAAUGUUGAAUUGAUGACCAAACGAUCAAAUCCUAUUAAAGAGAGAGGCUUUAAUUUGUAAUUUUCUGAUAAACCUGAUUAGUUUACAUUACAGAUGUUGCACCAGUUCCCCAUAUGUUUACACAUUCAGGUAUUUCUUAUCUGGCUUAAAAUAUCACAUUAGUUGUAUUUUCUGUUUUGAGAGAUUCAAUACUUAUCUUUUGUGUGAACUUUGUGGGUUAUUCUCAAAUGAGUUUCAUUUGACUUGUAUUGCGCUCGAAGUCUAUUUGAACGCUAUUUGACUGUCAAGAGAAGUGGGUAAAUUGAUUCAACUGAUGCUGACAUUUGGUAUUAAAUAUAUAUUUGUAAUUUCUAGGCAUUUUGUAUUACAAUUUCGAUUAGCAGUAUGAUAUUGAAGAGGAAAUGAACGAUGUGAAGAGGUGUGUUGGAUUGAUGUAUGGUGAAAAAUGGUAAGCUACUGACCAGGAUGAUUUUACAGGCAUAAUAUAAAAAAUGGAAGAAGUCAAAGUUGAUGGUGUGUGAAAUGUGAAGGACCAGUUUCUAAACAUCAUGCAACAAAACUAGCAUAAGAUAAGUUGUUUGGAUAAGAAUUGUAUAUUCUAGGAUGCUCGCCUAAUGUGUCAAAUAAAUGGUACAGAAGAAACUUUAAACUUGAGGAUAAUGAUAACCCUUCGUUGUCAAAUGCUUUUAUGAUGUCCUUAGAACUUUUCAAAUUCUGAUUUGUAUAGUUAUUCUACCAUCUAUUGUUGUGAGAAAUGGGACUUGAGGCUCACUGCAUUAAACAUGGCAAGUGGCCAACAUGUUUUAACAAGGUGUUGGCAACAUAUCGGGGAUGUCACUAACAUUGAAGAGUUCUCUUACUACUUUGGAGCUAUUAAUGCAAGGUAAACAAAUGGAUAGGAAAAGUGCCUGAAGGCUGAAAUGAGACAUGUUACAUGUAAUUUAUUUUUUCCGACCAGUCUCAUUUCAUCCCAAUUUCAGAGAGGUUUGCUCCUUCCAACAACAAGAAGGAAAAGUUUGUUGGAUCUGGAUCAAUUUGUUGUCAUUUAAGUGCAAUGACUGAAGCUGGAUCAAUUGGCCCAAAGAACUUCGAACUCAGCCAGACAGAUCAUUGUUCCCAAACUCUAAAGCUUUCAAAGACUGAGCACUUAGCAUCUCAUCGUACAAAGUAAAAUUAAUUGCAUGCAGGGAGUCUACUUGGAAUAUUUUUUAACUGGUAUAAGAAUGACCAAGAUGCCCUAGAAAAAUAUUGGUGAAGCAAUAUGUUCUGUUAUUAGUGGACUGAAGUCUUUGGCCUUAAUGAAAUGGUGAAGCAUUGUUCACCAGUGUAGUAUGCACUGCAGACAAUGUGGAGUUGACUUUUUGACAAGUACAUGUAUUAGGUCUUAACCAUAAAACAGCCUCUCCUUUUAGUUUAUGCCCAUAUGUGUAUUUCUAUUCACUUCA
This is an RNA transcript of Solanum stenotomum, 2036 nucleotides long. RefSeq lists it as uncharacterized. The transcript has 7 exons. NCBI's taxonomy places the organism in Eukaryota, Viridiplantae, Streptophyta, Magnoliopsida, Solanales, Solanaceae. The record is from RefSeq and is a predicted model, not a curated record.